This 83-nucleotide transfer RNA is filed under the name Streptomyces prasinus. RNAcentral's name for it is "tRNA-Leu". It matches the Rfam family "tRNA". From Rfam's summary of the family: Transfer RNA (tRNA) molecules are approximately 80 nucleotides in length. RNAcentral also lists the same sequence under 2 other names. The record is from RNAcentral. Lineage: Bacteria; Bacillati; Actinomycetota; Actinomycetes; Kitasatosporales; Streptomycetaceae.
GCGGCCGUGAUGGAAUGGCAGUCAUGCUGGGUUUAGGUCCCAGUGGGUUAACGCCCGUGUGGGUUCGAAUCCCACCGGCCGCA